ACUGAUGCUUAAUUCCUUUUUUUUUUUUUUUAUAAUUUUCACGCGCUUUCACUGUGGCAUGUGUGUGAGUACACUGUGGACUCAAUUUCCCGUGGACUCAAGUGCUCGAUUUGUUGUGUUCUCGCAUGUCUUUUCUUCAUCUUGACUGAAAAAACAGCGUCUGUAAGGCUCGGGUUUGAUGACCCUUUUUCCCAGUUGCAUGCAGGCUUCUAGGCGUGUCGUCCUCUUAUUGAAGUGGCUUUGGUGCUUCAAAGCUUGUGAUAAUGUCUGUUGAUCAUGGCUUGGCUCUUCUUUCAUUUGAGACUCCUCUGCUGCCCCGAGGCUUUCUUCUCUUGCGACGUGGCUCUUUUGUUUGAUGGGAGGGCGGGCAUUCCAUCAAUACUGCAUUUCAUGAUGGUUCAUUAAAUGCACACUCGCUGGACGUGUACUUUCUCUUCUCCUUUUGGUGUUUUGGAGGCUGACUAUUUUUAUCCUGGGUUGCAUUAAGGAGGACGAUUGCCGAUUUUGUUCAUGGUGUGACAUUGAUCGGUUGGUGUCUAACAGCCUAGUUAUAGCUUCCCAGAUCUCUUUCUUCUCCUUUUCCUGUUAUGGUUCUGUUAGGAAUCGACCACAAUUGAGUUUUACUUCUUCUUUGGUUUCAUUGCCAUUUGUAUGUGGGUUUUAUGGUUUUCUCGUGCCUUCUUGUUUGAGCGGCUUCUGACAUUGCUUCAUUCUUUGAUUUCUCUGAGAACCAUUACAACUGAGAAGUCAUUGGUUUGCAGGAGAUUAUAUAAAAUUUUUCAUCCCUUUUUUUUGGUUUUGUUGAUAUUGGCAUGCGAGUUUUUUUUUGUUUUUCCAUGUCCCCUUAUUUGAGUGGCUUCUGACAUUCAUUGGUACUGUGAUUCUUUGAAGGCCAUUACAAUUGAGAGGUCAUUGGUUUGCGAGAGGGUAUAUAUCUUUCCUUCCUUUUAGAAAAAAAGAGACUCUUUUUGAUGCAUUGUUUUUGUUGUUUCACACUGCUUUAGAGUUGGUUUGUUUUCUGCACUUUGAAUCUUUGCUGUUUUUUUUUUUUUUUUUUUUUUGUGGUCGGACAAAAGUUCAGCCUCUACUGAUUCAUCUGUUGUGAUGCUCUCUUAAUUUAUAGGGCCUCUCAUGGCAACAAAAUGAAAAUGACCACCUCAACAGACAAAACAAUGCAACAUCUGAACUAAGGUCGGUGAGAAAAGAAAUUACAGAAUUGAAAUCCGACCUUGCCGGAAUCCAACCAGCGACCUACAGCCCUCCGCUCCACCAACUGAGCUAAGAUCGGUGAUAAAAGCAAGCUUGAUAAAUAUCAGUGACGGAAUUUAAUGAUCGGAGACAUCACAAUUUUGGGCCAUCUGUCAUCUAGGCCAACCCUUUGUGCUCUACCGAAUUAUACUGGAAAAUGGAAUGCAUCUGAUGCGAACAAGCCAUUGGGCCAGUGACCCAAUGGCUCCGCAAUACUGAAAAACCGAGCCUCAUGUAGUUCGAACUUCCAACUUCAGAGACUGUCUUCUCCAGAUGGACCGAACAUGACAAGGCCUCAAAUUCUUAACAAACUGAGUCGAGAACACUAAGAACAAUUGAGUUACGAGCCUUUUGAAGAUUCAUUAACUGAACAAGGCCACAUUGAUCAAUUUAUAUCAUGUUAUCUCAUCUCGAAGACAUCGGCAUAUCUACAUCUAAUUCCAUCUAUCUACACAAUAAAUUAUAUACA
Long non-coding RNA from Populus nigra (black poplar), 1717 nucleotides. RefSeq lists it as uncharacterized. The transcript has 2 exons. The record is from RefSeq and is a predicted model, not a curated record. Lineage: Eukaryota; Viridiplantae; Streptophyta; Magnoliopsida; Malpighiales; Salicaceae.